Molecule: transfer RNA, 83 nt
Organism: Caenorhabditis elegans
Lineage: Eukaryota; Metazoa; Nematoda; Chromadorea; Rhabditida; Rhabditidae
Source: Ensembl
GCCCCGGUGGCCGAGCGGUCGAAGGCGUGAGACUUGUUCUCAUUGGGUUAAACCAGUCGCGGGUUCGAAUCCCGCCCGGGGCA